RNAcentral lists this ribosomal RNA (874 nucleotides) under Phaeosphaeria occulta. RNAcentral describes it as "eukaryotic LSU rRNA". It matches the Rfam family "Eukaryotic large subunit ribosomal RNA", at positions 71 to 965 of the family's 3401-position model. The record is from RNAcentral. Lineage: Eukaryota; Fungi; Ascomycota; Dothideomycetes; Pleosporales; Phaeosphaeriaceae.
GGGAUUGCCCUAGUACGGCGAGUGAAGCGGCAACAGCUCAAAUUUGAAAUCUGGCUCUUUUAGAGUCCGAGUUGUAAUUUGCAGAGGGCGCUUUGGCAUUGGCAGCGGUCCAAGUUCUUUGGAACAGGACGUCACAGAGGGUGAGAAUCCCGUACGUGGUCGCUAGCCUUUGCCGUGUAAAGCCCCUUCGACGAGUCGAGUUGUUUGGGAAUGCAGCUCUAAAUGGGAGGUAAAUUUCUUCUAAAGCUAAAUACUGGCCAGAGACCGAUAGCGCACAAGUAGAGUGAUCGAAAGAUGAAAAGCACUUUGGAAAGAGAGUCAAAUAGCACGUGAAAUUGUUGAAAGGGAAGCGCUUGCAGCCAGACUUGCCUGUAGUUGCUUAUCCGGACUUUUGUCCGGUGCACUCUUCUGCGGGCAGGCCAGCAUCAGUUUGGGCGGUUGGAUAAAGGUCUCUGUCAUGUACCUCCUUUCGGGGAGGCCUUAUAGGGGAGACGACAUGCAACCAGCCUGGACUGAGGUCCGCGCAUCUGCUAGGAUGCUGGCGUAAUGGCUGUAAGCGGCCCGUCUUGAAACACGGACCAAGGAGUCUAACAUCUAUGCGAGUGUUUGGGUGUCAAGCCCAGACGCGUAAUGAAAGUGAACGGAGGUGGGAACCUUUUAGGUGCACCAUCGACCGAUCCUGAUGUCUUCGGAAGGAUUUGAGUAAGAGCAUGGCUGUUGGGACCCGAAAGAUGGUGAACUAUGCUUGAAUAGGGUGAAGCCAGAGGAAACUCUGGUGGAGGCUCGCAGCGGUUCUGACGUGCAAAUCGAUCGUCAAAUUUGGGCAUAGGGGCGAAAGACUAAUCGAACUAUCUAGUAGCUGGUUCCUGCCGAA